UUUGAGCGUGCAUUUUUCCGCAGCGUUUCCGAAACCAUCAAAAUAAAAACAAAGUGAAUUUUUGUUUCGGCCAGUUUGCUCCGUUUUGUCGUCUUCGUUGUUCCAGAGAAAAAGUGAUGAGACUCCUUAAUUGGCAGAAGAAAUACUCUCUACAACCCCCCAGCAGUCUGGUGCCGCAUGAAAAACAGGCCCCCUGAGCUGCGGCCAAACCACAGACUACAGCCAUGGAACCAUCGCUAGUUUCUAUACUCUAGAUUGCUGUGAAAUCGAACCAAUGAAACGGAUUUUCAUCUACGCACAAGGAAAAAUCAAGCACCAGCAGAAGGUCAUCCAAGCGCAAUUUUUUUUCUAAAUCACCGGAGGUGCAAGCGAUAAUGCAGAGCUUCACCGGGAAAACUUCGGCAACAUAUGAAACCUAACCGGAAAGGGAUGAGAGAUAUGAUCGUGAUGUGGUGUAUUACUUCCGGGACAACCCCCUCCCUUCGCUUCGUAACGGCUUUUGUACGAAAAUUUUGUAUAAGUCAUAACGCUCGAGCCUAUUUCAUCCCCCCCCCUCGAAAGUUACGCAAUUUGGGGACGGCACCUAAAUAAUUCUGAAUUCCGACUGAGAAUUAUUUUUAUUAUUGAUAUUAUUUUGAAUUUAAAGACUCGUUGCUUAAUACGUAAAUAAUAAAAGCAUGAAUUGAAAAAAGUUAAGUUAUAAAUGUUUAAUUAUUUCAAAUCAGAAAUAAUGGAACAAAUAGAACAUGUAGCAUGAAUCUGCUUCUGAAGAGAAAUAGUUGAAAUUGUGAUUAAAUUGCGUGAUUUGUGUACGUUUCAAUUGAAGUUGAUUUUUCUACACGUAUCUAAUUGUUUCAUUAUUUUGAUUCAUUCUAAAAUAAUUUUACCUAGAUAUAAACAUAUCAGUACAGUACAGGAUACGGUCAAAU
Molecule: long non-coding RNA, 929 nt
Organism: Aedes aegypti (yellow fever mosquito)
Lineage: Eukaryota; Metazoa; Arthropoda; Insecta; Diptera; Culicidae
Exons: 3
Source: RefSeq, a predicted model, not a curated record